GGCCCCUCUUCUCCCAGAGAUUCCCGUGGAAUCCUGAGGAUUCCUUCAAGUCUGUGUUAGGAAGGCUUGUUCUCAGCAUGGACUUCUCUGAACUCCCUGACUAAACUUCAUCUGCCCCCAUCCUUGGCACCCCCAGUUCCGUUGCUUACAUCUUUUGUCUCCGUUAUACUUACCACCAUGGGUCACAGUACACGUUACUCAUUCAUUUGUUUCUGUUUAGCUUCCUACCAUUUGAAUGGAAGCUCCUUGAAGGUGCAGAUAAUGGCUAUUUUGUUCACUGCUCAUCCCAUCACUUGGCACACAGUUAGCACUCAAGCAUGGAAUAAAUGAGUAAAUUAAUUAAUGAGCAAAUGCUUGACUUACGUAAUCCCAACGUAAUCCAGGAUCCAUUGGAACCAGUAUCCUCCUUGUGGGGGCUACUCAGUUUCAGGAUCCAGCUUCCCAACUUGCUCUUUAGUUGAAUUCAUUUUGCUUUUUAAACCUCCUAUUAAGAUUUUUAUUUCUCCAAUCAUGGACGUUUUAUUUUCAGAAUUUGUAAUUUUCACUUCAAAAUCCCUAUUUGGUUCUUCCUAUUCUGACUCUACCAUUAUUUUGGUUCUGCCUGUUCUUGUUUCCUAAUUUCCACUUCUUGUUUCAUGGGCACACUCAUUUCCUCACUCUCCAAGAGGAUUCGGAAUGAGCUUUUCUGGUUGCUAUGGAGACCCAUUCACAGAGUAGAUUUCACAGCAUGUUGACAGAGGUGCCAGCUUCUGCAGGAAGCCCUGGGGAUACAGCAGGGAACCCAGGAGAUCAUUCCCUGCCUUCCUCUCAUGCUCUGUGGGAAGGCCUGCCCGUGGGGGAGGGGAAGCUGGCCAAGAAAUACACGAAAAGUAGUGAGUAUGCCACGGAGAGCUACUAG
RNAcentral lists this long non-coding RNA (898 nucleotides) under Marmota monax (woodchuck). Lineage: Eukaryota; Metazoa; Chordata; Mammalia; Rodentia; Sciuridae. The record is from RNAcentral.